CUCUCCCAUUCCCUCCCUGUCCCUUGGUGCACCCCACACCCCUUUAGUGGUCACACUCCCCUUCCUGGUGUGCCUCCUACCUCUAUUGUUGUAUUGCCGAGUGGAGCAGAUCCCCUAAAGGAGCUUCAGUUUUCUGUACCCGGCCGGACUGACAGGGAGUGCUCUCUCUGUGAGCACCUCCUGUCAGUCUGGCCAGGUACAGGAAACAGAAGCUCCUGUACCGCGCUCUGCUCCACUACACUCUGUACACACUGACAGUC
Molecule: non-coding RNA, 260 nt
Organism: Pelobates cultripes (western spadefoot toad)
Lineage: Eukaryota; Metazoa; Chordata; Amphibia; Anura; Pelobatidae
Source: the annotation of a GenBank genome assembly